RNAcentral lists this long non-coding RNA (207 nucleotides) under Volvox carteri. RNAcentral's name for it is "long non-coding RNA (VCAR_LNC003707)". Lineage: Eukaryota; Viridiplantae; Chlorophyta; Chlorophyceae; Chlamydomonadales; Volvocaceae. The record is from RNAcentral.
GGGCUUAAGAGCCGGGGGGGGGCCCAGAGGGUCGAAACACAGUGUGCGGGGUUUAGGCGCACACGGCUGUUUAGUCUCGUGCUUCGUGCAUUCCGGCCCAGGGAUCAGACCCCACCGGGGGGUAGCGCUACUGCUGAACGAGCUCUAGGUCCGCUGGUCACCUAUCGAAAUCCCCUAAGUCGCACCCGGGGAGUCCUCCGACAGGCG